RNAcentral lists this long non-coding RNA (1791 nucleotides) under Callithrix jacchus (white-tufted-ear marmoset). RNAcentral describes it as "lncRNA (ENSCJAG00000064936.2)". Lineage: Eukaryota; Metazoa; Chordata; Mammalia; Primates; Cebidae. The record is from RNAcentral.
AGCAGAGGGGCUGAACACGGCCACCCUCCCUCUUCUCCAGCUGUAGAUGUCACCUUAAAAAGAAGAUUUGAGGUAGCUGGAAGAUGGGAAGGAGGGAAGGGCGGGUGGUCAGGGACGAGAAGGCCAUCACACAUCAGCCUGCGGGGGUGGCAGCUUGAUUACAGCGAUGAUGGCCCCUCACUGACUGGGAGAGGACACUGCAAUGUGACACCCUGGGUUUCAAUCCUGGCUCCACAGAACAACUGCAUGACCUUAGACAAGAAACUUGAUCUCUCAGGGCCCCCGCUUCCCACUGUGAAAAUGGGGUAAUAAUGGCACCUAUACUUUUUGGCACUGCUGUCUCAGAGGAGUUUAUGCUCCGAUUUCUUCAUAGGGAGCACUGGGUAAGAAACAGAAGCUCCUGUCGUAAACGGAGGUUUUCUAAAAGACGCUCAGAAGCUGCCUGCUGGCUCCGUCUCAUAACCCGAAGUGGCGGUGGGGGUGGGUGGAGCAGGCCACUGCUGAGCCAGGGUAAUUCAAAUACCAUGAAGCUCUAUUAUCAAGAUUCUGGUGAGUUUUUGUUUUGUGUUUUUUCCUUGAUUAAAUAUUCUCCUGGUUGCUGUAAACUUCUAGUUAGUUUCCCAAUUUCCAGUAAAGUUGAUUCUGACCACCUUUGCCAGUUUAUUUUCUCCUUUUGUGGAGGGAUGGCUUUUGUAAUUCCCUAUUCUGCCAAUUUCAUUUUUAGGGUGCUGACUGUUGAGAUGCAAUACAUACUUCAAAACAGCAGGCAUUCUACGGAGCUGGGGCCCAUCAGAUAGACUACAUGGGAAACAAGCAGUGGAAACAGAAGUGGCCCCGUCACCAUCAUGCCCAGUGGCUCACCUCAAGAAUGCUUUAACUUUAGCCUCCACUGGACCAGUAAUGCUGGUCCCUUAGCAUGCCUGUGGGUCGAGGGGGAGGAGACACUUAUCCUAGGGAUGCCUAAAGCUGUAGCAGCUCCUUGUUGUUUUAGGUUCUUCGUGCCAACAGAGCAGCAGGCAAAGAAAGGAAUGCUUACACUUGUAGGAAUAUCAGGUUCUGCCUAUCAUGAGGAAGUAGCACUGCUGCUAGAUAACACAGUCAGAGAAGAGGAUGCCCAGAGCCCAGGGGAUUCAGUGGGGCUCAUCUUGGUGUUUCCCAGCCCAGUGACAACAAUUACAGGCAACCGCAGCAAUGACAGUCUGCCCAGUGCACAGCGACCAGGGAUUCAAACCUCUAGGGGUGAAGACCCAGUUACCCCAGCAGACCAGCAAGUUCAGUAUGCAGGAGUGGCCAAGUAUGAGGGCUAUCCAGAAUGAGUGGUGACACAUAGAGACAAUGAACACCAAUUAUGACCUUAGAGUCCAUGGCAAUGAUGGGGUCUAUAGCUUGCUUCACGAACUCUCUUUCUUAAAUUCUUUGUAGAAAUCGUGACAGGCAACAUCCUAAAAGAAGCAGUAGCAGGAGGGAGUGGACUUAAUAUGGGAAAGCAGUAUCCCCAGGUCUCAGCAUUCCCACGUGGGCUAGCCUGACUUCCAUCUGCCAACACAUGCAUCUCUUUGCCAAGGGCUUCCUCUGGCUGCUGGAGCCUGCUCUAACCACAGGCAUGGCAGCCUAGAGGUGCCAGAGUACCAUUGCCACAUCCCCAACUGCAGUCCUCAACCAGCCCAACCUCAGAUAAAAUGUCACGGAGGAUAUCAGGGUAUCACUGUGUCCGCCACUGGCUUCAUGUGCUCACAGGGGCAGCUCGUAUGUUAACAAUUGCUUCCUUGGUUUCCCUACAGUACUGUUUGG